This 573-nucleotide ribosomal RNA is filed under the name Shigella dysenteriae. RNAcentral's name for it is "bacterial SSU rRNA". It matches the Rfam family "Bacterial small subunit ribosomal RNA", at positions 73 to 643 of the family's 1533-position model. The record is from RNAcentral. Lineage: Bacteria; Pseudomonadati; Pseudomonadota; Gammaproteobacteria; Enterobacterales; Enterobacteriaceae.
AGCUUGCUUCUUUGCUGACGAGUGGCGGACGGGUGAGUAAUGUCUGGGAAACUGCCUGAUGGAGGGGGAUAACUACUGGAAACGGUAGCUAAUACCGCAUAACGUCGCAAGACCAAAGAGGGGGACCUUCGGGCCUCUUGCCAUCGGAUGUGCCCAGAUGGGAUUAGCUAGUAGGUGGGGUAACGGCUCACCUAGGCGACGAUCCCUAGCUGGUCUGAGAGGAUGACCAGCCACACUGGAACUGAGACACGGUCCAGACUCCUACGGGAGGCAGCAGUGGGGAAUAUUGCACAAUGGGCGCAAGCCUGAUGCAGCCAUGCCGCGUGUAUGAAGAAGGCCUUCGGGUUGUAAAGUACUUUCAGCGGGGAGGAAGGGAGUAAAGUUAAUACCUUUGCUCAUUGACGCUACCCGCAGAAGAAGCACCGGCUAACUCCGUGCCAGCAGCCGCGGUAAUACGGAGGGUGCAAGCGUUAAUCGGAAUUACUGGGCGUAAAGCGCACGCAGGCGGAUUGUUAAGUCAGAUGUGAAAUCCCCGUGCUCAACCUGGGAACUGCAUCUGAUACUGACAAGCUU